UACGAAGGGGGCUAGCGUUGUUCGGAUUUACUGGGCGUAAAGCGCACGUAGGCGGAUCGUUAAGUCGGGGGUGAAAUCCUGGAGCUCAACUCCAGAACUGCCUUCGAUACUGGCGAUCUUGAGUCCGGAAGAGGUGAGUGGAACUCCUAGUGUAGAGGUGGAAUUCGUAGAUAUUAGGAAGAACACCGGUGGCGAAGGCGGCUCACUGGCUCAUUACUGACGCUCAGGCGCGAUAGCGUGGGGAUCAAACAGG
This 253-nucleotide ribosomal RNA is filed under the name uncultured bacterium. RNAcentral's name for it is "partial 16S ribosomal RNA". It matches the Rfam family "Bacterial small subunit ribosomal RNA", at positions 524 to 776 of the family's 1533-position model. The record is from RNAcentral.